GGCCCAUGAUGUGAUGAUAAUAUUUGCUAAUCUGGAUGGUAAGACCAUAUGAUGAAUAUUAUCCACCAAGAUCUCUGAGGUC
This is a small nucleolar RNA of Nymphaea colorata (pocket water lily), 82 nucleotides long. RefSeq annotates it as small nucleolar RNA SNORD24. The record is from RefSeq and is a predicted model, not a curated record. The transcript has a single exon. NCBI's taxonomy places the organism in Eukaryota, Viridiplantae, Streptophyta, Magnoliopsida, Nymphaeales, Nymphaeaceae.